This 465-nucleotide ribosomal RNA is filed under the name uncultured bacterium. Its description in RNAcentral is "partial 16S ribosomal RNA". It matches the Rfam family "Bacterial small subunit ribosomal RNA", at positions 338 to 795 of the family's 1533-position model. The record is from RNAcentral.
CCUACGGGGGGCAGCAGUGGGGAAUAUUGCGCAAUGGGCGAAAGCCUGACGCAGCGACGUAGCGUGAGGGAUGAAGGUCUUCGGAUCGGAAACCUCUGUCUGCAGGGAAGAAAGGUAACUGUGCUAAUCAGCAGUGAAUUGACGGUACCUGCAAAGGAAGCACCGGCUAACUCCGUGCCAGCAGCCGCGGUAAUACGGCGGGUGCGAGCGUUAAUUGGAAUUACUGGGCGUAAAGCGCUCGUAGGCGGUAUGUCAAGUCAAUGGUGAAAUCCCCGGGCUCAACGUGGGAACUGCCUUUGAAACUGGCAAACUGGAGUGUGUGAGAGGAUAGUGGAAUUCGAGGUGUAGGAGUGAAAUCCGUAGAUAUCUGGAGGAACAUCAGUGGCGAAGGCGACUAUCUGGCACAUAACUGACACUGAGGAGCGAAAGCGUGGGUAGCAAACAGGAUUAGAUACCCGAGUAGUC